Long non-coding RNA from Vicia villosa (hairy vetch), 1861 nucleotides. RefSeq lists it as uncharacterized. NCBI's taxonomy places the organism in Eukaryota, Viridiplantae, Streptophyta, Magnoliopsida, Fabales, Fabaceae. The transcript has 5 exons. The record is from RefSeq and is a predicted model, not a curated record.
UAAAGUAUAAUUUAUUUAUGCUUUAGCCUUUGGCGAUAGAUAAAAUUUUCAAAAGAGAACGAUAAAUGAAGAAAAAAAUUAGUUGUAGAAAUAUACAUACAUUGGCAUUAAUGAUUAUUUAUAAAUUAAGAGCACCAAAAGGUAUGGUUAUUUUUUUUGUUAAUAAACUUUGUAUCAAAGUAAUUAAUAAAUAUCAAUCGUUCGUAGGUUCAGUGGUGAUUGGUGUUAAAUUUGGUAAGGAGGACUACGGUUUGAUCCAGUUAAAUUUUGUAAGGGAUUAAAUAGAGAUUUUUUUUCUUAGGACUAAUUUGGACUUUUUUUUUGUGAGGUACUAAAAUUGCUCUUCACUAGCAGUCCAAUCACGGUUCAAAAGGACUAAUCUGACCUCUGCAGUUUUUGUGAGGGACUAAAAUGGACCUUCACUCUUAUUUUGACAAAUGGAAUGAUAUAACUUAUGUAUAAUCUAAAAGGAAAAGAUGCAUCUAAGGAAGCAUUUGACGUUAUAUUCGCACCAUACUCUUCCUCUCUCCAUUCUUCACUUUCUCAUUUCAAAACUCUCAAACUCUCUCAACCUCAAAAAUUAAACUUCCACCGAAGUUGUUUUCUUCCUCUCGAGUUCGGCCGAUAACGUCAACAUCAACUACCAACACAUUUCAAUAAGUUUCAAACUCCAUUUAAUCGUGAAUAGACUGUUGGUGACGAGGUAGAGGCGGAUAUACACAGAGAACGGGUGCUGAGAUAUUACUUACUAUAUUUGAUAUGCACUCAGCUCUUUGUGGACACGUGCUCGACGUACACAGACGUCGUUUACCUGACGUACUUAUCGAAUAUCGCAUGUGUCCAUGAGUACAACUGAGGAGCGGCUACACUAGCAUACACCUACCACGGACUCGAAGAGGGAUACCUGUGAAAGGCAAGGACUAUGGCUGGCAGCUGUACCCUCUUAGUGGGUUGGAUACUACAAUACUUCCCUGACAUUAUUGGCUGGGGAGAGGUUUCAGGUUACACUGAGGACAUGCCGCGUGCCAGAGCCUUCACCCCCCUCAGAGGGAACCAGGUGCCGGAUCCUUACAAUUGUUGUCUUGACCGCAUGACUAUUGAGGACAUCUACUACGACUGCUACGCUGAUCACCGUGAGACGGUUCCGUUCUAUGAGAUCGGAUUAUAUUCUGGAUGGUUGGCGGUCAGUUCGACCAUCAUUGUUUGUUAUCUACCAGAGUGUGUCAUGCGUCAGUUCGGGUACCAGCAGACGAUACCUCGCCCCCUUCUGACUCCGCUCCUAUCGCCAUGACCCGUCAACAGCUAGAUGAGGUCUUUGCAGACUGGGAGCACCGCAUGGUUCCUGCCGAGGCUCGGGCGACCACAUCAGAGAGGGACUGGAGCUGCGUCGACGAGUACAUCACCUGGUACUAGCGUGUCACACCCAUACAUGCUUCCCACCGCACCUGGAUCACCGCCCAUACCAGUCUAGGUGGAGAUUUUGCGGACUCGUCAGACUCAGAUGGACCAUACUCAAUAUGUUCUUCCUUAGUGUCGUGAGAUAGCUGACAUGGCGCAGCAGGCAUUGCCAAUGGUUUAUUCCCUAAGGGGUCUACUGGCUUGCGUCUAGUGGAGGGUAUCACUAGGGUGGAAGAGGAGACAUUUUUGUACCGUAGAAACCAUGCUAGGACAGGUGGGUCACUCGAGGGUAGAGGCAGAGUAGCCAGUAGACGGCGCGGUGGAUGCAGAUGCGGAGGUGGGGCCAGAGGCAACGGAGAGGCGCAUGAUGAUGUCCGACACACACAGUAGUGAUGUCUGGGAUUUAUGUGAUGUAUGUAUUUUGAUUUGAUUUGUGUACGAGGUUUUUAUAUGUAUUCAUUGG